GAUGAAGAACGUAGCGAAAUGCGAUACGUAAUGUGAAUUGCAAAUUCAGUGAAUCAUCGAGUCUUUGAACGCACAUUGCGCCCCCUGGUAUUCCGGGGGGCAUGCCUGUCCGAGCGUCAUUGCUGCCCUCAAGCACGGCUUGUGUGUUGGGCCCCGUCCUCCGAUUCCGGGGGACGGGCCCGAAAGGCAGCGGCGGCACCGCGUCCGGUCCUCGAGCGUAUGGGGCUUUGUCACCCGCUCUUGUAGGCCCGGCCGGCGCUUGCCGACACAUCAAUCUUUUUUCCAGGUUGACCUCGGAUCAGGUAGGGAUACCCGCUGAACUUAAGCAUAUCAAUAGCGGAGGA
Molecule: unclassified non-coding RNA, 344 nt
Filed under: soil metagenome
Description: partial contains 5.8S ribosomal RNA, internal transcribed spacer 2, and large subunit ribosomal RNA
Rfam family: 5.8S ribosomal RNA (bases 1-119)
Source: RNAcentral